AAACCAACAGGGAUUGCCUCAGUAACGGCGAGUGAAGCGGCAACAGCUCAAAUUUGAAAUCUGGCCCUAGGCCCGAGUUGUAAUUUGCAGAGGAUGCUUUUGGUGCGGUGCCUUCCAAGUUCCCUAGAACGGGACGCCAGAGAGGGUGAGAGCCCCGUACAGUUGGACACCAAGCCUUUGUAAAGCUCCUUCGACGAGUCGAGUAGUUUGGGAAUGCUGCUCAAAAUGGGAGGUAUAUUUCUUCUAAAGCUAAAUACCGGCCAGAGACCGAUAGCGCACAAGUAGAGUGAUCGAAAGAUGAAAAGCACUUUGAAAAGAGGGUUAAACAGCACGUGAAAUUGUUAAAAGGGAAGCGCUUGUGACCAGACUUGCGUCCGGUGAAUCACCCAGCUCUCGCGGCUGGGGCACUUCGCCGGCUCAGGCCAGCAUCAGCUCGCUGUCGGGGACAAAAGCUUCGGGAACGUAGCUCUCUUCGGGGAGUGUUAUAGCCUGUUGCACAAUACCCUUCGGCGGGCUGAGGUACGCGCUCCGCAAGGAUGCUGGCAUAAUGGUCAUCAGCGAC
This 562-nucleotide ribosomal RNA is filed under the name uncultured fungus. RNAcentral's name for it is "eukaryotic LSU rRNA". It matches the Rfam family "Eukaryotic large subunit ribosomal RNA", at positions 62 to 648 of the family's 3401-position model. The record is from RNAcentral. Lineage: Eukaryota; Fungi.